GUGGUAAUGCCGGAUGUUCCAGUUGAUCGCAUGGUCUUCUGGGAAAGCUUUCGCGGUAUGGGAUGGGGUCGCGUCCUAUCAGCUUGACGGCGGGGUAACGGCCCACCGUGGCUUCGACGGGUAGCCGGCCUGAGAGGGCGACCGGCCACAUUGGGACUGAGAUACGGCCCAGACUCCUACGGGAGGCAGCAGUGGGGAAUAUUGCACAAUGGGCGCAAGCCUGAUGCAGCGACGCCGCGUGAGGGAUGGAGGCCUUCGGGUUGUAAACCUCUUUUAUCGGGGAGCAAGCGUGAGUGAGUUUACCCGUUGAAUAAGCACCGGCUAACUACGUGCCAGCAGCCGCGGUAAUACGUAGGGUGCAAGCGUUAUCCGGAAUUAUUGGGCGUAAAGGGCUCGUAGGCGGUUCGUCGCGUCCGGUGUGAAAGUCCAUCGCUUAACGGUGGAUCCGCGCCGGGUACGGGCGGGCUUGAGUGCGGUAGGGGAGACUGGAAUUCCCGGUGUAACGGUGGAAUGUGUAGAUAUCGGGA
Molecule: ribosomal RNA, 527 nt
Filed under: Bifidobacterium longum subsp. infantis
Lineage: Bacteria; Bacillati; Actinomycetota; Actinomycetes; Bifidobacteriales; Bifidobacteriaceae
Description: bacterial SSU rRNA
Rfam family: Bacterial small subunit ribosomal RNA
Source: RNAcentral